UUGUGAGAGUCUGCGGCUUUCACCUUUAUCCAUCGUGGAUGCUCUUGUUCGAGAAAUCCAUUCCAAACACUUUUAGUUCCUGAUCACUGCUAAAAUGCUGUCCCUUCUUUCUAUGCAACUGUUCUUUAUUUUUGGCCUAUUUUUGUCAGUCUGAGCAAUAAUGAUAAACAAUCCUUGCUGCAUUGAAACUCAGUUGAAAUGAUCCGGUGAACCCCUGCCUUGGUCCUUGCUGCAAACUGUAAUCUCAAAUACUGAAUAUGGUCGGACUUGGUCGUGGGAUCCAAGCUGCAGGAGACCGAAGCUACUUUUUCGUUACCUUCUUUCUAGCCUAGAGCGCGCGCGCUAUGUACACACACACACACACACACACACACACACACACACACCCCUCGGUAAAAGCAAGCUGAGAUGAGGUGAGGGGGUGUUCCAAUGUGAACAGAGACGCAGGGUUCAGGCUGAGGGAGCCGGGGCAGUGGGGAAACCGACGGCGUGAGCAGUGCCGGGACCAGGGGCUAUGACUAAGGUGGGCGCACCGCGUCCAGGGCGAGGACGCGAGGAAGCUGCACGAGCCUCCGGCGCUUGUCUGAGAUGCAGAAGUGGAUGACCGGGCUCCCGGGCAUAAAAUCAAAGUUCCGUGGAGCUUGGAGCUCUUAGACAGCCACGCUUGUCCGAGCUGAGAGCCCUCCGUGGUUCGAGCUCGCGCGUGGAGCGGCCUCCAGCGCUCGGUCUGCUCGGGUAGAAGCCCAUGAAGGGGGUCCCGCGGCGCUAGCUUUUGUACGGCCCCGCCUUGGCCAGCCGUGAGCUGACGCACCGGCUCCCCUGGGACGCUGGGGGCGUCGCACCGCAGCUGGAGAGAGAGAGAGAAACGAGCUGGCGGAGAGGAGCAGAAGGCAGGAGGGGAAAUCUGGCACAACGGCUGGGAGAGGAAACUUGAUGCUUCUGGGCCACCAUUUGCCAGGGCCUCGCUCGAGACGCCGAAAGAAGCCUGUUUGUGUGCUGCGGCCGUGCUGUGACUCUGGAUCUUGUCUUUCAGCCGGCGCCUCGGUUCCUGCCCAGCUGGAUUUGGGGGGCAGCAUUGCCUGGCGCAGGGAGAUCAAAUGAGACUGCAAAGAAGCAUAAAAUGAAUAGACAAUCCAACCAACCAAAGACCGGGGGCAGCAGCAGGCCAGCAAGACGGCAUCUUCUCCUUCCCAGCCUAGAAGCCCUGUGAAAUCGAGGAUCUUCCCCCUAAAACACAUACACACAAGAUAUGUGCAAUCAAGCUGCCACCGCUUGGUAAAAAGCUCAUGGUGCCUAACCAAAAAGGAUCAGGAACAGAUCCUUGAAUCAGCUGUCACUUCUAUAGAAUGGGAUUUUUUUUUCCUUCCUCCUUAACCUGCGCUGGAAAUUGCCGUUGGCUUUAUACAUCUCUAUAGAGAGAGGCUAAAGAGUCUUGCGUGAGAAAGAAGCAAUUUACAAUGCAAAUAGAGGCCUGUGAAGGGACGGAUGCUGCUGCUCACUCGUAACAGCUUGCUGCACCUUAAUAGCUGGUUUUAUUUUCUGAUAUUGAUAGAUGAAUUGUUGGCUAACGCUGCCGGAGAUUACUUGCUGAAAGGAAAAAAAAAAAAGUUCGGAAUAAACUCUGAAGGCAACAGAUCUCGUUUGGAUGUUUUAGCCGCGCACACACACAAACAGAAACCAGGUCAUAUUUACAUAAAAGGAGGAAUCUUAAGCGCGGCAAGUAUCCUGGACGACCACUCUUCGGUACUGCCAGAAAGGAUCAGGACCUGGAGUCUGGCAAGAGGAAGACAGAGGCCUGUGUGGGAAGCGAGUUGUUAUCUUUGGUUAUCUAGCUGUAUGAGUGUAUUGGUCUUCAUAAAGCUAGAUAACCGAAAGUAAAAACUCCUUCAAGAUCGCCGGGGAGCGUGUGAGAAUGAAAGACUACAGCCGAGAGACAGUAAAAACCAGAAAGGUCAGGAAUACUUAUUGAAUCUAACUUUGUUUUUGUUUUGUUUUUUUCCUUAUGAUUAAAGGUGGGAUGAGAGAAAAUUAAAUGACACACAUAUGCUAAAAUAUCAAGGUGCCAGAUAUGUCUUGAGAGGGGUUGUUGCAGCUGCAAAGGAGAAGUGUAUAGUGAUAAUGAGUAAAGAUGCAUGUGCAGUUUGUUCUAUUUUAAGGCAAAAGUUAUAUCAGGGAAUUUUUUCUUAGAAAGGGGUUGCAGAGAUAUCUGGUACCUAGUUUAAAAAUGAUUCCAUAAUAUGUAGACUUGGGCAGUUCCUUUGUGAGGCCCCUCCCUCUCAAAAUUUGAAGAUUGUGCUUGGAAAUUACUUUACAUGUAUUUGGGCUGUAUGUCUAUUUGUACGAAAUUAGACUUUCAGAAAAGUUUAUACUGGAAUGUUAAUAAUUUGUAUCUACUGAGGACUUAGAGCUAGCAGGCAAAAUGAAAAAAACAAAAAAAAGCAAGGGCUGAUUUUUAUUCUUCUAUUCAAAAUACAAGGACAGAUGCUUCUCUGUUCCAAGAGGGUUUCCUUGAGGAAGCUACUGAAGCAGAAAGACAUGAUGGAGACGAGAUCGCCUCCCCUCUUGUCAAAGUGUUAAAAAAAUGUUCUGUCUUACUCUGCGCCUAGCAUUGGAAAUGAAAGUGACAUUUACGCCACAACCCACGUGUGCGCCUCCUCUCUUUUUGUUUAAGGAUGAUCAGGUCUAUCCAGGAAACAGCUCUGGCAUCCCAAACUGAAAUAAUUAGGACGUAUAUAGACCUGACAAAAAUGGAAAGGGGGUGGGGAAUCUGAGGGUCUGUCUUGCCUAAUUGAUUCCGCUAAACGGAAUGCAGGAGAUGUGAACGGCAGGACGCUCCGAUUCCCACGCUCGGGGGCAAGUGAUAAAGCGGGGCCGGGCAGCCUAUGACAGACAGCCCUGUUGGGGGGUGGGGGUAUGAAAAAAACAUCAAGUGCACACACCAUACUCAUCUCCAUCGCUUAAGAAAGUAAAGGCAUUUCCCACCCACAGCCAUCUGCAUCUUCCCAAAUGGCAGCACCAACUGGUCUGUAGCUGCUACAUAGUCUGCUUCUGUUAAUUUUUUAACCACUGUUUAAUCUGGCCAUAAUUAAGUUUGGCUUUCUUCGUUGUUUGAGAUUUUCAGAAUUCAAGGCAAGCUAGUAGAAAGUAAUUCCAAGAAAGUCCCAUGACUGCCUGCCCCUAAUGUCAAAAUCUCAGUCCAUGAGAUUAUGGCCUUGUGACCACAUUUUUGCUUUUGUUUUGGGUGGGCAAAUGUGUAUAGAGAUAAAAUACAUAUCUCUAUAUAACAGUCGUUAUUAUAAUUUCAUGAGGCUUUUUACCUCUUAACAUGAUACAUCUAGGAACUUGGUCUAAUUGUGCUAGUAGAUAUACACUAGAAGUAAAACUAUAAAGUCAUUAGCCUGUAGAAAGUUGAUUAUGAUAACAAUAUGAUAAAAAGUUUGUUUUGGAAUAGUCUCAGCUAGAUGGGUCUAAAUAGCCAUUUUAAUGUAAUCUAAAAAUAACACUAUGCCUAGCAGAAACUUUGGAGCUUUGGAGGUCCCCAUUGUCGCCUUUUCAUAAAAGUCCUUAAGUCUUCCAUAUGUCACCAAGCAAACAUUUGUAUAGGCAUUUACACAGAAAUAUAACCAUUGCAAUUAGAAAAUAUCCAAAAUAGCCUGUUAUCUUCCACGUGGCCUAGAUUAUUGACAAUCCCAAAUAUACAAUUUUUCUUUAAAAGUAGUACAAUUUCCUUUGCAGCUUCAAUUCCUUAUAUGACUUCAGACUGGAGAAGCCUGUUAAACCACUGUUAGUUUCAGUUAGAAAGUCUGAGAGACUUUAUACAUAAAUUCUCAAUUUGGCUGCUGUACACGUGCCAGAGUUUUACUACGGUAGUGACCGUUGAGAAGACCCUUGUUUAUUUACAUUUGAAGCACUGUUUGUGCAAACAACCUUUCAUUGUUAAGUGCCUGUAUUCCUUUCAUUUACUUCAUGUCCAGGGGUGCUAUUUACCUAGAACCAUUGUCUACUACAAUUAACAUUUACAUUACAAAGUGUGUGGUUUUCUUUUUCAAGGAGGUUCAAUUAAGGCAAUAAGAUGUUUGCUGGAGAAACCUAUUGUUUACUGAAAGCACUCAAUGGAGUCAAAUUACUGAAGCUUUUGCCUACAUCUUGGUCUUUUAUGUAAAUAUGUUAAAUAUAACAUCUAAGGAAAAUAAACAAUAUUAUAAUUAUGUGUUUGCCAUUGUCAUAUCAAACUUGCUUUGUAUCAUACUAAUGUUACAUAACUUAUCGAUCAAUAAAAAUACAUUUCAAUGUUA
This is an RNA transcript of Gorilla gorilla gorilla (western lowland gorilla), 4295 nucleotides long. RefSeq lists it as uncharacterized. The transcript has 5 exons. The record is from RefSeq and is a predicted model, not a curated record. Lineage: Eukaryota; Metazoa; Chordata; Mammalia; Primates; Hominidae.